Molecule: ribosomal RNA, 183 nt
Filed under: uncultured soil bacterium
Lineage: Bacteria
Description: partial 16S ribosomal RNA
Rfam family: Bacterial small subunit ribosomal RNA
Source: RNAcentral
AGGGGCUUCGGCCCUGAGUAGAGUGGCGAACGGGUGAGUAACACGUGGGUGACCUACCUUCGAAUGGGGGAUAACGUCCCGAAAGGGACGCUAAUACCGCAUAACAUCCUGUCUUUGAAGAGACGGAGAUCAAAGCUGGGGAUCGUAAGACCUGGCGUUUGAAGAGGGGCCCGCGUCCGAUUA